AACUCCGCGAAAGCGGGGCUAAGACCGCGUACGCUCGGGCUGGGGAGAUCGGCUCGAGGAAAACCGCAAGGUGCUGAAGGAGGGGCUUCCGGCCCAUCAGGUAGUUGGUGAGGUAAGAGCCCACCAAGCCGAUGACGGGUCGCUGGUCUCAGAGGAUGAUCAGCCAGACUGGGACUGAGACACGGCCCAGACUCCUACGGGAGGCAGCAGCUAGGAAUCUUGCGCAAUGGGCGAAAGCCUGACGCAGCGACGCCGCGUGAGGGAUGACGGCCUUCGGGUUGUAAACCUCUUUCAGCAGGGACGAAGCGAAAGUGACGGUACCUGCAGAAGAAGCACCGGCCAACUACGUG
Molecule: ribosomal RNA, 350 nt
Filed under: uncultured bacterium
Lineage: Bacteria
Description: bacterial SSU rRNA
Rfam family: Bacterial small subunit ribosomal RNA
Source: RNAcentral